CCACGGUCGCUCGACGUGCUCAAUCUGCCCUGGACUUAGCGAUCACCUGACCAAGUGGUAAUGCCGCAUAAGACACACUGCCGGGUGUGGUGGAAAGUCCGGCGGUACAGGUUGAGCCCGCGGCCUAUCAGCUUGUUGGUGGGGUGAUGGCCUACCAGGCGACGACGGGUAGCCGGCCUGAGAGGGUGACCGGCCACACUGGGACUGAGACACGGCCCAGACUCCUACGGGAGGCAGCAGUGGGGAAUAUUGCACAAUGGGCGCAAGCCUGAUGCAGCGACGCCGCGUGGGGGAUGACGGCCUUCGGGUUGUAAACCCCUUUCGCCAGGGACGAAGGACGGUACCUGGAGAAGAAGCACCGGCC
This 364-nucleotide ribosomal RNA is filed under the name Saccharomonospora azurea. Its description in RNAcentral is "bacterial SSU rRNA". It matches the Rfam family "Bacterial small subunit ribosomal RNA", at positions 100 to 498 of the family's 1533-position model. The record is from RNAcentral. Lineage: Bacteria; Bacillati; Actinomycetota; Actinomycetes; Pseudonocardiales; Pseudonocardiaceae.